GACGAACGCUGGCGGCGCGCCUAUUACAUGCAAGUCGAGCGGAAUGAUGAAGAAGCUUGCUUCUUCUGAUUUUAGCGGCGGACGGGUGAGUAACACGUGGGCAACCUACCUUGUAGAUUGGGAUAACUCCGGAAACCGGGGCUAAUACCGAAUAAUCCAUUUUGCUUCAUGGCGAGAUGUUGAAAGACGGUUUCGGCUGUCACUAUAAGAUGGGCCCGCGGCGCAUUAGCUAGUUGGUAGGGUAAUGGCCUACCAAGGCGACGAUGCGUAGCCGACCUGAGAGGGUGAUCGGCCACACUGGGACUGAGACACGGCCCAGACUCCUACGGGAGGCAGCAGUAGGGAAUCUUCCACAAUGGACGAAAGUCUGAUGGAGCAACGCCGCGUGAGUGAAGAAGGUUUUCGGAUCGUAAAACUCUGUUGUAAGGGAAGAACACGUACGAGAGUAACUGCUCGUACCUUGACGGUACCUUAUUAGAAAGCCACGGCUAACUACGUG
This 499-nucleotide ribosomal RNA is filed under the name uncultured bacterium. Its description in RNAcentral is "bacterial SSU rRNA". It matches the Rfam family "Bacterial small subunit ribosomal RNA", at positions 28 to 507 of the family's 1533-position model. The record is from RNAcentral.